Long non-coding RNA from Drosophila ananassae, 1059 nucleotides. RefSeq lists it as uncharacterized. The transcript is spliced from 4 exons. Lineage: Eukaryota; Metazoa; Arthropoda; Insecta; Diptera; Drosophilidae. The record is from RefSeq and is a predicted model, not a curated record.
UCUCCUAGCGCUUUGCGCCGGCUUUCCAGCCUGCCGCUCAUUCGUGGCUCUGCCAUUGCCUCUCUCGGUUCUGUUUUUUUCUGCAAUGGCCGCGUGUGAAAAGUUUUCUUUAAAUUUAAAUUUAAUUAGAGUAAAAGUGAAACAUUAACUAGUUUGGUGAUAAAUAUCAAUUAGUGUUUGGAAAAUUAAAUGAAAGUGAUUUAGUGAACAAUUUAGCAACAGGGCAGUGUUUUUUAUUAUAUUUUUUAUAUUUUUUUUCUGUUAAAUGUUAAAAAACUUUGUUUUUAACUUGUUUUUAAUAAAAUUUCGACGUUUCAGGCCCGAAAUGUGUGUUAAAUGGUCGUUUAAAGUGCAAUAAUUGUGGGUGCUCCCAAAAAUCUUUGCCGGCCGCCAUUUAAACACGCAUGUUCAGGCAUUAUUACGCAUUACUUCAUUCCACGCCAUUCCACUGCCAUGGAAGAACAGUUAGAUUUUGGAUGAAUGGCUUCAACAGUGAUGGCAGUCGACUGAUAGUGAUGCUCAUUUUGAAUAAUUUAUAAUUCAUUCUGCUUAUGGAUUAAUAAUUUUUUUAAAUAGUGAAAUAAAGUGAAAUAAUUAUGGAUGCUGAUGACGGCCAUUAUGGAAGAUGGCUGAUUCUAUUUGGAAUGGAGGAACAGUUAUGUUUUGGAUGUAGGAACUAAUCAGAGAUGAAUAGAGAUGCUCAGGCGGAAUAUUUAUUUCUUCAAUUUAUAAAUUAAUAAUAAAAAGGUGAAAAAAAGUGAAAUAUUUGUGGAUGCAGAUAACGGACAUUACUACGCAGUAGACAUCAUGGAAUUUGCAAUGGAGGAACAGUUAUAUUUUGGAAUAAUGAAACAAAAGCAAAUGGAAAUGGAAAUGGAAAUGGAUAUGGAGAAAUGGACUUGGAAUAUUCAUAAAUUUUUAAUGCACUAAUAAUUAUGGAAUAAUAUGCUCCUAAACCCAAGACUUGAGGUUCAACUCUGGCUUUAAAUAUCUUUAAAAAUAAAAAACCUAAAAAAUUGUAACAGAAACCUUAACUUUUCAAUAAAAACAUAAAGUUUA